AGGUUUCCUUGUUGACCUCCGUUGGUCCACUCUUUUGAACUCUUUUGUUUAACUUUUAUUGUUUUAUCAAAACCCAUCUCUGAAAGAACAGCCUCGAUGAGUUACAUGUCCAGACCUUUAGUCCAGGAACGCGAGCCAGAAUGCCGAGCGCAAAGAGAGUCCCAGGUCUGGACUAGUGCUUGUUGAGCUAGAUCAAAAGACCCCCAUCUCCCCAAGAUCAUGGACACAUCCAGCCCCUCACCCAAGCCCUGAAGGGGAUCUUCACAAAAGGACAUGGACAUGCCUCUUUCUGUCUUCAGGAUUCCAAAGCUCCUGGUAGGGAUCUGCACACAAGUUUUGCACAUACCAUUUUUUUAUUUUCUCGUCAAAAUUCACUCACACACCACAAAUAUUACAAAUUUAGCUUGCAGUAAACAGUACAAUAUAUAAUAUAUGUAUAUAUAUAUUUUACAAUCUUAUAAAUAGUAUUUGUAUAGCUACAUAAGUCCUUUGUAUUUUGGGCUGUAAUAGUUUUUGUCAAAUUUGUACACUGUUUUUUUUUAUUUCAUCUGCAUCCAUAUUCAAUACAGAGAAAUCUUUAACUAUUGCAAUGCUGUUCAAUCUUUUUAAAAACAGCCAACACUUGCAAUAAAAAUAAUUUUGUUCAAAUGCCCACUUGCAUGAACAUUGCAUCAUAUGUGAGUUUUAUUGAACUCAAAUUAAAUCAGGAGAUAAAGCUUAACAGCAUUUUCCAUGAACCAAUGGGGGGCAUGGGGGCUUUAGCCCCUGACCUUUCAAUGCAUUCUUUGUCAUACUAGCCUUGCUGUACUGCCAAUGUUUUGUAAAAUCUUCAAUUUUGAUCAUAGCAUUUUGAAAUACACAAUACUUGGCAAUAAAAAUAGGGAGUCUGUCUGAUACAACUAAAAUUCGUCUGUGAAUUAAUUUUAGCUGCUUUGUCUCUCCCUCAGCACCUGAUCUGCUAAUAAUAUGAACUCCAUUCCAUAUUUAGCUUAAGUCAACUAGACCCCCCUAAAAAAUGUUGAGCAACCAAAUCUCAUCUUAAGAGCUCAACCAAAUACUGUUUGCAGUACUCAUUGGCUACACUAUUCCCUCCGUGAAAUGAUACAUCUACAAAUUUAUCUAAAAUCCGUUGUGAAGGAAUAGGUCGCAUGCAAGGGGUCGGCAAUGUUUGGUCUAAGCCGCCAAUGACAGUGUUUAGAGCUUAUUACUCUAUAAAAAGCGACUGCAAAGAACGCUGGGUUACCCAGGAUGCAGCAGUGCUUCUGCUGUUGAGCAACAAGAGAUAUCUUGGAUUCACAUGAGCAAAAAUAAAUUCAUAAUAUAU
Nematostella vectensis (starlet sea anemone) is the source of this 1324-nucleotide long non-coding RNA. RefSeq lists it as uncharacterized. NCBI's taxonomy places the organism in Eukaryota, Metazoa, Cnidaria, Anthozoa, Actiniaria, Edwardsiidae. The transcript is spliced from 3 exons. The record is from RefSeq and is a predicted model, not a curated record.